Acanthosepion pharaonis is the source of this 112-nucleotide non-coding RNA. Lineage: Eukaryota; Metazoa; Mollusca; Cephalopoda; Sepiida; Sepiidae. The record is from the annotation of a GenBank genome assembly.
ACGACCACAUUGCAUUGAAACAUUAGUUCCCAUAUGAUUGCCAAAGUUAAGCAAUGUUGAGACUAGUCAGUAGCUAGAUGGGUGACUGCUUGGGAAUACCAUGUACUGUAAG